This 375-nucleotide ribosomal RNA is filed under the name uncultured eukaryote. RNAcentral's name for it is "SSU rRNA". It matches the Rfam family "Eukaryotic small subunit ribosomal RNA", at positions 587 to 969 of the family's 1831-position model. The record is from RNAcentral.
AGCUCCAAUAGCGUAUAUUAAAGUUGUUGCAGUUAAAAAGCUCGUAGUUGGACUUCUGAUGUGAGAGAUCGGUCCACCGCAAGGUGAGCACUGAUUCUUCGCGUCUUCCUCUCGUAGUUGUUUCGCGCACUUAGUUGGGUGCGAGAUGAAUAUGGGACCUUUACUUUGAAAAAAUUAGAGUGUUCAAAGCAGGCAAUCGCUUGAAUACAUUAGCAUGGAAUAAUAGAAUAGGACUUUGGUUCUAUUUUGUUGGUUUCUAGGACCGAGGUAAUGAUUAAUAGGGACAGUUGGGGGCAUUAGUAUUUAAUUGUCAGAGGUGAAAUUCUUGGAUUUAUGAAAGACUAACUACUGCGAAAGCAUUUGCCAAGGAUGUUU